GGUGGUCCUCAAACGAGUGUCCUCUGUCCUUCAGAUGUUGUUUGGCUGAAGCUGAAACUGAGCUUGAGAGAUGUACCACGGCAGUAAUGUCAUCAAGGAAGAGGAGGAUCCUCUCCAGCCACCACGUAACAUUGGUCACUUGCAGAUUUGGAGUCUUCCAUAAUCCUGUACUUCUCACCAGUACAUGCUGAUCGGACCAUGCUGGCUGGCCUGGAUUCAACCACCAUGUCCACAGUCCAGCCAGGUACAGCAAGGUGUACAACAAAAAGUCCAGGAAGUGGAUUGAAGGUGGAGAAGGACUACAGUUACAUCGCAGACCUCCAGAGUGCCAUCCUCCUCCUCCUCCUCCUCCUCCUCCUCCGACGGUUGUCUACUACUAUU
Long non-coding RNA from Micropterus dolomieu (smallmouth bass), 381 nucleotides. RefSeq lists it as uncharacterized. The transcript is spliced from 4 exons. The record is from RefSeq and is a predicted model, not a curated record. Lineage: Eukaryota; Metazoa; Chordata; Actinopteri; Centrarchiformes; Centrarchidae.